UAGGGAAUCUUCGGCAAUGGACGGAAGUCUGACCGAGCAACGCCGCGUGAGUGAAGAAGGUUUUCGGAUCGUAAAGNUCUGUUGUUAGAGAAGAACGUUGGUAGGAGUGGAAAAUCUACCAAGUGACGGUAACUAACCAGAAAGGGACGGCUAACUACGUGCCAGCAGCCGCGGUAAUACGUAGGUCCCGAGCGUUGUCCGGAUUUAUUGGGCGUAAAGCGAGCGCAGGCGGUUCUUUAAGUCUGAAGUUAAAGGCAGUGGCUUAACCAUUGUACGCUUUGGAAACUGGAGGACUUGAGUGCAGAAGGGGAGAGUGGAAUUCCAUGUGUAGCGGUGAAAUGCGUAGAUAUAUGGAGGAACACCGGUGGCGAAAGCGGCUCUCUGGUCUGUAACUGACGCUGAGGCUCGAAAGCGUGGGGAGCAAACAGGAUUAGAUACCCUGGUAGUCCACGCCGUAAACGAUGAGUGCUAGGUGUUAGGCCCUUUCCGGGGCUUAGUGCCGCAGCUAACGCAUUAAGCACUCCGCCUGGGGAGUACGACCGCAAGGUUG
RNAcentral lists this ribosomal RNA (550 nucleotides) under uncultured bacterium. RNAcentral's name for it is "bacterial SSU rRNA". It matches the Rfam family "Bacterial small subunit ribosomal RNA", at positions 355 to 896 of the family's 1533-position model. The record is from RNAcentral.